GACUUCUGGUUUAAUGCACCUGGCCCGCGGCCCACAAGGCCUGUGAGUGCCGGCGCGCGUUUACCAUCCUUCCAGCAACGGCUACCCUUAACUGGGCGGCUGGAACUGGAUCUUUUACUUUGAAAAAAUUAGAGUGUUUAAAGCAGCGUUUGCUCUGAAUAAAAAGAAUCUAGGGCUUCGGUUCUAUUUUGUUGGUUUCUAUAACUGAAGUAAUGAUUGCUAGGGAUCGUUGGGGGUGCUAGUAUUGGCCGGUCAGAGGUGAAAUUCUUGGAUUCGGUCAAGACUAACUUAUGCGAAAGCAUU
RNAcentral lists this ribosomal RNA (303 nucleotides) under uncultured Allantion. RNAcentral's name for it is "SSU rRNA". The stretch from base 102 to 303 matches the Rfam family "Eukaryotic small subunit ribosomal RNA", at positions 739 to 955 of the family's 1831-position model. Lineage: Eukaryota; Cercozoa; Glissomonadida. The record is from RNAcentral.